Molecule: ribosomal RNA, 424 nt
Filed under: uncultured bacterium
Lineage: Bacteria
Description: partial 16S ribosomal RNA
Rfam family: Bacterial small subunit ribosomal RNA
Source: RNAcentral
AAUAUUGGACAUUGGGCGAAAGCCUGACCUAGCCAUGCCGCGUGUGUGAAGAAGGUCUUCGGAUUGUAAAUAACUUUAAGUUAGGAGGAAGGGGUUGAAGCUAAUACCUUCAAUCUUUGACGUUACCAACUGAAUAAGCACCGGCUAACUCUUUGCCCGCUGCCGCGGUAAUACAGAGGGUGCAAGCGUUAAUCGGAAUUACUGGUGGUAAAGCGCGCGUAGGUGGUUCGAUAAGUUGGAAGUGAAAGCACAGGGCGUAACCUGGGAAUUGCUUUUAAAACUGACGAGCUAGAGUACGGUAGAGGGUAGUGGAAUUGCCUGUGUAGCGGUGAAAUGCGUAGAUAGAGGAAGGAACAUGAGUGGCGAAGGCGACUACCUGGACUGAUACUGACACUGAGGUGCGAAAGCGUGGGUAGCAAACAGG